AAAUUGAAGAGUUUGAUCAUGGCUCAGAUUGAACGCUGGCGGCAGGCCUAACACAUGCAAGUCGAACGGUAACAGGAAGCAGCUUGCUGCUUUGCUGACGAGUGGCGGACGGGUGAGUAAUGUCUGGGAAACUGCCUGAUGGAGGGGGAUAACUACUGGAAACGGUGGCUAAUACCGCAUAACGUCGCAAGACCAAAGAGGGGGACCUUCGGGCCUCUUGCCAUCAGAUGUGCCCAGAUGGGAUUAGCUUGUUGGUGGGGUAACGGCUCACCAAGGCGACGAUCCCUAGCUGGUCUGAGAGGAUGACCAGCCACACUGGAACUGAGACACGGUCCAGACUCCUACGGGAGGCAGCAGUGGGGAAUAUUGCACAAUGGGCGCAAGCCUGAUGCAGCCAUGCCGCGUGUAUGAAGAAGGCCUUCGGGUUGUAAAGUACUUUCAGCGGGGAGGAAGGUGUUGUGGUUAAUAACCGCAGCAAUUGACGUUACCCGCAGAAGAAGCACCGGCUAACUCCGUGCCAGCAGCCGCGGUAAUACGGAGGGUGCAAGCGUUAAUCGGAAUUACUGGGCGUAAAGCGCACGCAGGCGGUCUGUCAAGUCGGAUGUGAAAUCCCCGGGCUCAACCUGGGAACUGCAUUCGAAACUGGCAGGCUUGAGUCUUGUAGAGGGGGGUAGAAUUCCAGGUGUAGCGGUGAAAUGCGUAGAGAUCUGGAGGAAUACCGGUGGCGAAGGCGGCCCCCUGGACAAAGACUGACGCUCAGGUGCGAAAGCGUGGGGAGCAAACAGGAUUAGAUACCCUGGUAGUCCACGCCGUAAACGAUGUCUACUUGGAGGUUGUGCCCUUGAGGCGUGGCUUCCGGAGCUAACGCGUUAAGUAGACCGCCUGGGGAGUACGGCCGCAAGGUUAAAACUCAAAUGAAUUGACGGGGGCCCGCACAAGCGGUGGAGCAUGUGGUUUAAUUCGAUGCAACGCGAAGAACCUUACCUGGUCUUGACAUCCACAGAAGAAUCCAGAGAUGGAUUUGUGCCUUCGGGAACUGUGAGACAGGUGCUGCAUGGCUGUCGUCAGCUCGUGUUGUGAAAUGUUGGGUUAAGUCCCGCAACGAGCGCAACCCUUAUCCUUUGUUGCCAGCGGUCAGGCCGGGAACUCAAAGGAGACUGCCAGUGAUAAACUGGAGGAAGGUGGGGAUGACGUCAAGUCAUCAUGGCCCUUACGACCAGGGCUACACACGUGCUACAAUGGCGCAUACAAAGAGAAGCGACCUCGCGAGAGCAAGCGGACCUCAUAAAGUGCGUCGUAGUCCGGAUUGGAGUCUGCAACUCGACUCCAUGAAGUCGGAAUCGCUAGUAAUCGUGGAUCAGAAUGCCACGGUGAAUACGUUCCCGGGCCUUGUACACACCGCCCGUCACACCAUGGGAGUGGGUUGCAAAAGAAGUAGGUAGCUUAACCUUCGGGAGGGCGCUUACCACUUUGUGAUUCAUGACUGGGGUGAAGUCGUAACAAGGUAACCGUAGGGGAACCUGCGGUUGGAUCACCUCCUUACCUUAAAGAA
This 1552-nucleotide ribosomal RNA is filed under the name Salmonella enterica. RNAcentral describes it as "bacterial SSU rRNA". It matches the Rfam family "Bacterial small subunit ribosomal RNA". The record is from RNAcentral. Lineage: Bacteria; Pseudomonadati; Pseudomonadota; Gammaproteobacteria; Enterobacterales; Enterobacteriaceae.